Molecule: ribosomal RNA, 396 nt
Filed under: uncultured bacterium
Lineage: Bacteria
Description: partial 16S ribosomal RNA
Rfam family: Bacterial small subunit ribosomal RNA
Source: RNAcentral
CUACGUAGGUGGCAAGCGUUGUCCGGAAUUAUUGGGCGUAAAGCGCAUGUAGGCGGUAAUUUAAGUCUGUCGUGAAACUGCGGGGCUCAGCCCCGUAUGGCGAUGGAAACUGGGUUACUUGAGUGCAGGAGAGGAAAGGGGAACUCCCAGUGUAGCGGUGAAAUGCGUAGAUAUUGGGAAGAACACCGGUGGCGAAGGCGCCUUUCUGGACUGUGUCUGACGCUGAGAUGCGAAAGCCAGGGUAGCGAACGGGAUUAGAUACCCCGGUAGUCCUGGCCGUAAACGAUGGGUACUAGGUGUGGGAGGUAUCGACCCCUUCCGUGCCGGAGUUAACGCAAUAAGUACCCCGCCUGGGGAGUACGGCCGCAAGGCUUAAACUCAAAGGAAUUGACGAGG